AAGACUAUACUUUCAGGGAUCAUUUCUAUAGUUCGCUACUAGAAAAUUUUUAAUUACAUGUUGCUCAUAUUAUA
This 74-nucleotide small nucleolar RNA is filed under the name Physeter macrocephalus (sperm whale). RNAcentral describes it as "Physeter catodon (sperm whale) Small nucleolar RNA U3 (ENSPCTG00005020819.1)". It matches the Rfam family "Small nucleolar RNA U3", at positions 1 to 75 of the family's 219-position model. Rfam says of the family: Small nucleolar RNAs (snoRNAs) are involved in the processing and modification of rRNA in the nucleolus. There are two main classes of snoRNAs: the box C/D class, and the box H/ACA class. The record is from Rfam by way of RNAcentral. Lineage: Eukaryota; Metazoa; Chordata; Mammalia; Artiodactyla; Physeteridae.